UACGUAGGGUGCAAGCGUUGUCCGGAAUUAUUGGGCGUAAAGAGCUCGUAGGCGGUUUGUCGCGUCUGCUGUGAAAACUCGGGGCUUAACCCCGGGCCUGCAGUGGGUACGGGCAGACUAGAGUGCGGUAGGGGAGACUGGAAUUCCUGGUGUAGCGGUGAAAUGUGUAGAGAUCGGGAGGAACACCGGUGGCGAAGGCGGGACUCUGGGCCUACCCUGACGCUGAGGCGCGAAGGCGUGGGGAGCAAACGGG
RNAcentral lists this ribosomal RNA (253 nucleotides) under uncultured bacterium. RNAcentral's name for it is "partial 16S ribosomal RNA". It matches the Rfam family "Bacterial small subunit ribosomal RNA", at positions 524 to 776 of the family's 1533-position model. The record is from RNAcentral.